RNAcentral lists this long non-coding RNA (755 nucleotides) under Anas platyrhynchos (mallard). Its description in RNAcentral is "lncRNA (ENSAPLG00020012097.1)". The record is from RNAcentral. Lineage: Eukaryota; Metazoa; Chordata; Aves; Anseriformes; Anatidae.
CCCUGCUAGCACUGUGUGGAAAUCAGCUUCGGAGCUCACCAGUGCCAAGCACUUCAGUCAGGCUUUUUGUGCUCGAGGAGCUUGAGGAGCUCAUGGCCUACACAGCUACUUCUGACUUAGCGUGCUAAGGUAAAAGAAGCACAGGCUUGGUGCUGACAGUCAGCAGAAGUGAUGCUCAUGCUGCUUGCCUCAGUUUCCCCUUGGGCACAAGACAAUUUCUCUGUCCUGCAGAGGCCACUGUGAAACUCUUCAGUAUUUGUAAAGCAGCGUGGGGAGGCACAUUCCCACCCGCACCAGGCAGAGGAGCAUUAGAAGGCUCUCAGCCAGCCUAGGAGUCCUGUGCAGCACGAGGAGGCUGGGCUAUAAAAAGACACUCACUUGGAGAGGAGUGGGAGAGCUGUGCCCUUGUGGGAAGGAGGAUUGUGCAGACGGGGGCCCUGCAGUGGUGUGUGGGGUGCAGCAGGAUCCCGAGGUUAACAGGGAGCUGGAGCUCUUCUCAGAAGGCAGUUCCUGCCGCUCUGAGGACAUCCUGCUGCUUGUGAGAGAGCAGGCCGGGCACACCUCUGCACCAUGCAAUGCAGCAUCAUGUGUGAGACCUCUCUACUACCCCUAAAGGAACCGUUUUCCAGACCAGCCAGGGAAGGCACUGCACACAAUAGCUUGGAGGAAUAAUAGAAGGCUCAGAGAAGACGUCAAACUCUGGUAAGAUACUGGGAUGCAGAUGCAUUUGGGAAGGCUACAGCAAUUACAGUGCC